This is a long non-coding RNA of Melitaea cinxia (Glanville fritillary), 636 nucleotides long. RefSeq lists it as uncharacterized. NCBI's taxonomy places the organism in Eukaryota, Metazoa, Arthropoda, Insecta, Lepidoptera, Nymphalidae. The transcript is spliced from 2 exons. The record is from RefSeq and is a predicted model, not a curated record.
AUAUUUUAUUGAACACAUUAUUUAUUUUUAUUUUAUUUUUGUAAAAAUAGUUUUAUAUAUUAAAAGUUACACGCCCAUUCUGAUGUCACAUCAUUUCUGAUUCCAUGAUUCAUGCUGACAUUUUUUUAAAAUUAUUCAUACUAAUCAAGAUAAUUCAAAUACAUAAGAAGUUGAUAGAAUUGUUAAAUAAUCGACUGAAUUGAGCUUAGAAUGAGUUCUUAUCAUUACGUUUUGUAUAUUGUGAGAAAAAUACAUGUUAUACAAAUGAUAAAAUAAAUCCAAUAAUUGUAAUUUUACAAAGUAAGAUUUCAUAAAAUUUGUUUUUGAAAAUCUGUUGCAAAAAAUAAACUUAAAAUAUUUUAUGUCGUGUUCGUGUCUAAAUCAAAGUCUGUACUGUAUAUUUUUAUAUUACUAUUAUAUAGUUAUUGUGAUUUUCCAAAUAGGUAUAAAAACAUUUUAAUAUUUGUUUUAUGAUAAGUGUUUCGGUUGCAAGCAUUCUUGAUGUUUGAUGUUUGAUGAUGUAUGAUGUUUUUUUUAAACAAUUUCCUUUAAAAAGAAUUCAGGCUAUUAUUGUUUUGUACGUUAAAUUGUUUUGUAAUGAUGAAACCUCAAAAUAUAACAAUAAAAACGAUUAAA